Molecule: RNA transcript, 2230 nt
Organism: Odobenus rosmarus divergens (Pacific walrus)
Lineage: Eukaryota; Metazoa; Chordata; Mammalia; Carnivora; Odobenidae
Gene: ZNF416
Gene name: zinc finger protein 850-like
Exons: 5
Source: RefSeq, a predicted model, not a curated record
AUGGAGCCCUGCAAUGGUUACAUCCCUCUGAUGUCCCUCAUCUUCUCACAGAUUCCCAUGACCAGCGAAGCGCUUAUGGACUGUAGGAAGGGCUGUGUGACCUUUGAGGAUGUGGCCAUUUACUUUUCACAGGAGUGGGUGCUCCUUGAUGAGGCUCAGAGACACCUGUACCAUGAUGUGAUGCUGGAGAACUUUGCACUUAUAGCUUCAUUGGUUUGUUGGCAUGGGAUGGAGGAUGAAGAGGCACCUUUUGAACAGAGCGUUUCUGGAGAAGUUUUGUCAUGGGUCAGGACUCCAAAGGCAGGUCCACCCACCCAGAAGACUCACCCCUGUGAGAAAUGUGUCCCAAUCCUGAAAGACAUUUUGCACCUGGCUGAUCAACCUGGGUAGAAACUAUACUUGGAUGGAGCAUGUGCAAACCUACACCAGCUUCAGAAGCAUUACACUGCAGAGCAAAGGGAUGUAGAGAGGGCCUCAUUUGUUAAGAGCUGCAUAUUCCUGUGUCAGGGAAUCCCUUCACCUGUAGGAAGAUUGGAAAGGAGUUCCCAGCCACAUGGAGCUUUCCCCAGCACCAAGUCAUUUUCAACAGUGAGAAGCCAAACAAAAUCACCAAGUGUGGGGAGGCCUUUCAUAGUGGAAGAAGUCAUUACAAAUCACAUGAUGGGAAAGCCUCCAACCACAAACGAAGUCUUGUUUAUCACCCAAGAGUCUCCACUAGAAAAAGGGUUUAUGAGACCAUCAAAUAUGGGAAAGCUUUUCGCUGCAAGUACUCACUUGUUCAGCUCCAGAGAGUCCACACUGGAGAAAGGCCUUACAAGUGCAGUGAAUGUGGAAAAUCUUUUAGGCAAAGAGCCACCCUCAUUAUACACCAGAGAGUUCACACUGGAGAAAAGCCUUAUACGUGUGGUGAAUGUGGGAAAUCCUUUAGUCAAGGCUCCAACUUACUGAACACUGCAGAAUCCAUAGUGGAGAAAGGCCUUAUGAGUGUGAGGAAUGUGGGAAAGCCUUUGGGUGCAAAUCCAAUCUCAUAAGGCACCAGAGAACUCACACUGGAGAAAAGCCUUAUGAGUGCAGUAAAUGUGGAAAAUUCUUAAGACAAAGCUUCACCCUCAUUGAACAUCAGAGAAUUCACACCACAGUAAGGCCUUAUGUGUGUGUCCGGUGUAGGAAAUCCUUUAGCCAAAGAGCUACUCUCAUUAGACACCAGAGAGUUCACACUAGUGAAAGGUUUUAUGAGUGUGGGGAAUGUGGGAAAGCUUUUGGAUCCAAAUCCAAACUUGAUCGGCACAAUAGAAGUCACACUGGAGAAAGGCCUUUUGAGUGUGGCCAGUGUGGGAAAUGCUUUAGCAGAAGAGCUAUUUUCACUAAACACCAAAGAAUUCACACUGGAGAAAGGCCUUAUAAGUGUGGCGAAUGUGGGAAAUCCUUUAGUCGAAGCACCAGCCUUAUUCAGCACUGCAGCAUUCACACAGGAGCAAGGCCUCAUGAGUGUGGCCAAUGUGGAAAAUCCUUUAGGCAAAAAUCUGUUCUCAUUCAAUACCAGCUAGUUCACACUGGAGAAAGGCCUUAUGAAUGCAGCAAAUGUGGCAAAUCCUUUAGCCAAUGCUCCAGCCUCAAUCGACAUCAGCGGGUUCACACUGGAAUGAAGCCCUAUGAAUGCAACGCAUGUGGGAAGGCCUUUAGCCAGAGCUCAACCCUUAUUCGGCACUACCUCAUUCACACCGGGGAGAAACCAUACAAGUGCAUGGAGUGUGGGAAGGCCUUCAAACGCAGGUCCUACCUCAUGCAGCACCAUCCGAUUCACACUGGAGAGAAGCCCUACGAGUGUAGUCAGUGUCGAAAGGCCUUCACCCACCGCUCUACUUUUAUUCGGCAUAACAGGACCCACACCGGAGAAAAACCCUUUGAGUGCAAAGAAUGUGAGAAAUCAUUCAGCAACAGAGCACACCUGAUUCAGCACUACAUCAUCCACACUGGAGAAAAGCCCUACGAUUGCAUGGAGUGUGGGAAGGCCUUCAGAUGCAGCUCAGAACUCAUGCAGCACCAGCGGAUUCACACUGGGGAGAAGCCCUAUGAGUGUGCCCAGUGUGGGAAAGCCUUUCAUCGGAGCACCUACCUCAUUCAGCACUCCAUCAUCCACACGGGGGAGACGCCAUACAAGUGCCUCGAAUGUGGGAAGGCCUUCAAACGCAGGUCACACCUUCUGCAGCACCAGCGGGUUCAUACUUGA